Molecule: small nuclear RNA, 300 nt
Filed under: Jaculus jaculus (lesser Egyptian jerboa)
Lineage: Eukaryota; Metazoa; Chordata; Mammalia; Rodentia; Dipodidae
Description: 7SK RNA (ENSJJAG00000001791.1)
Rfam family: 7SK RNA
About the family: 7SK was discovered as an abundant small nuclear RNA in the mid-70s but a possible function has only recently been suggested. Two independent studies have found that 7SK RNA binds the CDK9/cyclin T complex (known as elongation factor P-TEFb).
Source: Rfam by way of RNAcentral
GGAUGUGAAGGCUGUCUGACUGCAACAUCUGUAACUCCAUUGAUCACCAGAGUUGAUUCAGUUGAUCUGGCUAGGUGGGAGACCCCUUCCUCCUCACUGCUCCAUGUGAGUCACCCCCAAAGCUGUGUGCUAGGUGGAGCAGCAUAAACUUCUCCAAAUAUAGGACUGGUCUUAAGUCAAGGGUAUAAGGAGCAGUAGCUGUGCUCCCUUCUAGAACCUCCAACAAAGCUCUCAUUGGCUAAAAAUAGGCAAUAAGUAUAAAACUUUAUAAAAACAGACAACUAAUGAAAAGAGAACUUU